GAUGAAGAACGUAGCGAAAUGCGAUACUUGGUGUGAAUUGCAGAAUCCCGUGAACCAUCGAGUCUUUGAACGCAAGUUGCGCCCGAAGCCAUUAGGCCGAGGGCACGCCUGCCUGGGCGUCACACGUCGUUGCCCCCCCAUCUACUCCUUCGGGAUUGCGGGGGGCGGAUGAUGGCCUCCCGUGCGCCUCGCCGCGCGGUUGGCAUAAAUGCCAAGUCCUCGGCGACGCACGCCACGACAAUCGGUGGUUGCGAAACCUCGGUUGCCCGUCGUGUGCGGUCGUCGCGCGUCGAGGGCUCGAAAAAAUUGCCGGGUUCCGGCUCGGCUUUCAACGCGACCCCAGGUCAGGCGGGGUUACCCGCUGAAUUUAAGCAUAUCAAUAAGCGGAGGA
This 391-nucleotide unclassified non-coding RNA is filed under the name soil metagenome. RNAcentral's name for it is "partial contains 5.8S ribosomal RNA, internal transcribed spacer 2, and large subunit ribosomal RNA". The stretch from base 1 to 122 matches the Rfam family "5.8S ribosomal RNA", at positions 35 to 154 of the family's 154-position model. The record is from RNAcentral.